Molecule: ribosomal RNA, 577 nt
Filed under: uncultured Sebacinaceae
Lineage: Eukaryota; Fungi; Basidiomycota; Agaricomycetes; Sebacinales; Sebacinaceae
Description: eukaryotic LSU rRNA
Rfam family: 5.8S ribosomal RNA (bases 222-375)
Source: RNAcentral
AAGUCGUAACAAGGUUUCCGUAGGUGAACCUGCGGAAGGAUCAUUAAUGAUUGCGAAUGGUCGCCCUCGGUGCUGGCUCGUAAGAGCAAGUGCACGUUGGUGGCUUUCAUCCAAUACCCCUGUGAACCUUUGGCCUCUUGCUAGCUCCGGCUGGCAGAGGAUUUUUUACAUACACACUCGAAUGUAAUGAAAACUAUUGUCGUGCGCAAGCACUAAUGUACAACUUUCAACAACGGAUCUCUUGGCUCUCGCAUCGAUGAAGAACGCAGCGAAAUGCGAUAAGUAAUGUGAAUUGCAGAAUUCAGUGAAUCAUCGAAUCUUUGAACGCACCUUGCACCCUUUGGCAUUCCGAAGGGUAUGCUCGUUUGAGUGUCAUUGUACUCUCACACUCUCUGAUCCUUAGGGAUUCGGGGAGCGGUGGACUUGGGUGUUUGCUGCUUUCCUUGUGGCUCACCUCAAAUGCGUCAGUGCACCUCUUGGUUGGACAUAGUACGGCGUGAUAAGUGUCUUCGCCGGCACCUCGCAAGAGGGUGGCCAAUUGGGAGCUCUGUGCUUUCAAACCGUCUUCGGACAAUCU